Molecule: ribosomal RNA, 714 nt
Filed under: Pseudomonas lini
Lineage: Bacteria; Pseudomonadati; Pseudomonadota; Gammaproteobacteria; Pseudomonadales; Pseudomonadaceae
Description: bacterial SSU rRNA
Rfam family: Bacterial small subunit ribosomal RNA
Source: RNAcentral
GAGCGGCGGACGGGUGAGUAAUGCCUAGGAAUCUGCCUGGUAGUGGGGGAUAACGCUCGGAAACGGACGCUAAUACCGCAUACGUCCUACGGGAGAAAGCAGGGGACCUUCGGGCCUUGCGCUAUCAGAUGAGCCUAGGUCGGAUUAGCUAGUUGGUGAGGUAAUGGCUCACCAAGGCGACGAUCCGUAACUGGUCUGAGAGGAUGAUCAGUCACACUGGAACUGAGACACGGUCCAGACUCCUACGGGAGGCAGCAGUGGGGAAUAUUGGACAAUGGGCGAAAGCCUGAUCCAGCCAUGCCGCGUGUGUGAAGAAGGUCUUCGGAUUGUAAAGCACUUUAAGUUGGGAGGAAGGGCAGUUACCUAAUACGUAUCUGUUUUGACGUUACCGACAGAAUAAGCACCGGCUAACUCUGUGCCAGCAGCCGCGGUAAUACAGAGGGUGCAAGCGUUAAUCGGAAUUACUGGGCGUAAAGCGCGCGUAGGUGGUUCGUUAAGUUGGAUGUGAAAUCCCCGGGCUCAACCUGGGAACUGCAUCCAAAACUGGCGAGCUAGAGUAUGGUAGAGGGUGGUGGAAUUUCCUGUGUAGCGGUGAAAUGCGUAGAUAUAGGAAGGAACACCAGUGGCGAAGGCGACCNNCUGGACUGAUACUGACACUGAGGUGCGAAAGCGUGGGGAGCAAACAGGAUUAGAUACNCUGGUAGUCCACGCCGU